ACAAGGCCACAAAUCUCACAAGUUUCUUCACAAAAAUCACAAAAGUCACAUGUACCACAAAAUAGUUCACAAAACUCACAUGUACUCACAGAAAUAAGUCCACAAACAUCCAAUGUAUGCCAUAAACAUGUCUCAUAACCAAGUUCAGAAGAACAUCAGUGAGGUGGUCGGUUGGACUGGUUUGAUGAUGUGUUGGGCGAACCAUGGGGGUUGUUUGAUGUCGUCGAUUGAUUCUGCACAGAGAAGAGAUUGCAUGUGUGAGAUUAGAUAAAUAUAUAUCAUACACGACUAAAAUUUUUAUAUUCACAGGAGUAUAAAACUGAGGAGGUUCAGCUGUAGGGAACAACGGAGGUGGUGGAGUAAUUAAAACUCGAUGCGGCGCCAAGGUUCUGCAUGUAUGAUACAUUUCCUCCAUCCUCUGUUGAUCGACCAAGCGAGUCAUCUGUUCGGCUAUCAUCCUCGCCUCCAACUCCACAUGUUGCAUCCUCUCUUCUUCUAGAUGAGUUUUUCUAUGCAAAGUGUUUCGCACUCGGCAAAGAGGUACGUUGCGGAGUAUCAUACUUCGCCGAGAGUAACACUCGACAAAUAAUUCUUUGUCGAGUGCCCGAGAUUUUACACUCGGCAAACAUCUGAGCACUCGGCAAAGAAUGUGUUUUCGGUAGUGUUUUGCUGCUUCAAUUUACACCUCACAUGCAUAUAUACUCCGUCCUCAUAUCAUAAACAUCGGUCCAUCUAGAUUUAUGCUAAGUCAUGAUUUCUUAAGUUUGAUAGGCAAUGUUUACACAAACAAAAGUUACCCCCUCUAAUCUUUUUUUACAUGUCACAUAAGAUUUGUCCUAAGCCAAAUAUUACUAUCUUUUAUUCUCCAUUUAAAAUUUUAUUUUAUUUUUAGAACCUACCAAUUAUAUAUUAUAAAAGUUUUUUUAUAAUAACUAUAAAACAUAAAUCUUAUGUCAUGUGCAUAUACUGAUACACACGUUUGACUUAAAACAAAUCUAAUAUUACAUAUAAAUAAAAACAGUAAAGGUACAUAUUAUGAAGUCCUCAUAAUAAAUCUAGUGAGGCCUCAUGUUUUCAAAAAAAAUGAUGGGAAAAUUUAACAACCUUUCACUUGGAAAAACCUUGUGAUUGAAGGAAGUACAGUUGCAUUUAUAUAUAAUAUAGGUCCAACUGGCCUGAAAAAGGCUAUUAUUGCACGAUUCAAGAUAAGGCAUUUAAAAAGCAUAGCUCGGCACUGUAAAUCAAAAGGAAAAGGAAAAACACUUGUAAUAUUAAACUGACAGACAACCACCACAUCACCAAAGAUCCAAUAGCAUCUACAAUUUAUUUUAAUGUAUUAUAAACAAAAGAAAAGAUAACAAGAGCCAAUGAGCAUGUAACUUGCAGGCAACUUUGUUGUCCUCCACACAGCACACAUGCCGAAUUCCAGCUCCUCAUUACUCCGUUGCGAUGUGACGUGUGCGUGCCGGCCGCUCAUCAUGCAAUGCAAUGCAACACCGAAUAAUAAACAGGCAGAAAUUACCGAGGCACGCGCGCGAGUUGGUGGUGCACUGCACACUCAGCUCAGGGCUCGAUCGCUCAGCUAUAUAAAGCCCUGCUGGUGCCAAAGCACACGCCAGAACGAUCGAGCUGGGACCGGUAGCUCGCCCACAAGCACUACUGCUCCGGCGGCGGCCAUCGCCUUGUCAUCAGGCUCCAGCUAGCUUGCAACAGAGGGGGCGAGCUAGGAGGAGGAGAUGAGUGCCCCAGCGGGCAGCGGCGGCGGCGGGGAGCGGGCGAUGAACAUCCGCGGCAUAUUCCGGUUCGCGGACCGGGUGGACGUCCUGCUGAUGGCCCUGGGCACGCUGGGCGCCAUUGGCGACGGCUGCUCCACCAACCUGCUGCUCAUCUUCGCCAGCGACGUGAUGAACGCGCUCGGGUACGGGGGUGCCCAGGCCGGCGGCGGCGCCAAGAGCGCGCAGUUCAUGCACGAGGUGGAGAAGGUUCGUCCUGCGCCGUGCAUUACCGCCUGAUGUACCGGCGACUAGCUAGUGUCGUCAACUCCGAACGAAGCGCGCUCAACUCAACAUCGUCUGCUGUGUGGGCAUUUUUCAGUAACUUUAUUGUUCACUUCUUUUCGUUUUGCCCUUUUUUUUCCCCGUGAUGCAGUCGUGCCUGAACUUCGUCUACCUGGGGCUCGUGGUGCUGGCGGUGGCGUUCAUGGGUACAGUACCUUCAGCUCACCACACCUAGCCUAGCCUAUCAAUUUAUGCACAUCAUCAGAACCUGCUGCUUGCAUCAAUGAAAGAACUUUCCCCCCUGUUUUUUAACAAAAUGUUUUAAUACAAUGACAAUUUUGCUUCAAAAAGAGGCAUCGUCUCUCUGAGCUAGCAAUUCUCUUUCUGUAACUUAAUAUAUGUUAUGUUACCCUACUCGGUUGCCUGCUUGUUGUCCAUGCAUGCAUGUGUGUAUGAUGAGAAGCCAAAAGAAGACAUGCAUCUUUCUAGAGCGCGCUACAGAUCGAUCUGUUUAAAACUAAAUAGCUGACGCUGUAGAAUUAUUAAACGUCGUAAAUUGUUUGAGCCAAACACUAAAAUGGACGACAGUUGUCGUACAUCUCACGCAUCGAUCUGCUUGCUUUGCUUGGAAAUGAAAAAAAUGCAGAAGGGUACUGCUGGAGCCGGACGAGCGAGCGGCAGGUGCUGCGGAUCCGGUACCUGUACCUGCAGGCCAUCCUGCGGCAGGAAGCGGGCUUCUUCGACUCGCAGGAGGCCACCACGUCGGAGAUCAUAAACAGCAUCUCCAAGGACGCCUCCCACAUCCAGGAGGUCCUCAGCGAGAAGGUAGGUACACAACCAAACAAACCCCUCCAUCCUCCCAUUCAUCAACAAAAGACCCCCAAUCUUCAGUCAGAACAACCCCAAAAACAAAACAAAACAAAACAAAAUGACGAGACACCCUUCAGAGGCUUCAGUCAUGUGAAUGUGAAUGUGACUAGCCAAACCAUCCGGUCCAUCUGCAGAUGACUUGACCCAGCCUCCAGCAACAAUUUCGUUUUUUAGACGGAGCAGUAGAGUACCUGUUAUAGACCGUCAGCGAAUUUCCUCUUUUUUUUUGGAACUAACCUGCGUGGGCACGACCGCACGAGGCUAGAAGCCAGCGACCUACAGCAGUAGAGCAUCGCUGAAUCAGGUGGCAAAUCAAAGGAUUUGACCUGGCAGUCUAGGCUGCCGUCUUAUUUUAUCCGUCAAACAUUUUCUUUUUUUACAGAGAAAAUGUCUCUCUGUGCUGUCAUCCUUCAGACUUCAGAGGAUUGCAAGUGUGUGUGUGUGCCAUCUUAUUACCCUGAUGGCUCGUCAUACGAUCAAACCAGUCUUCCACGUAUCGUUCUCCAUUUCCCACUGGGGCCGGACUUUAUUUGAACAAUCCCGUACUCACUUUAAUCAAUGUGUAUUGAGGUAGAUUAGAGUAUAACUUAAACUAAUUUAUACCCUAGUCUAUUUCAAUACGUAUAGAUUGAGGUAAAUACCAAACAAUGUCUGGGAGGGAUUUAAAAACACCCAACCUGAAAAUAACAUAAAUCCGCAAAAACAAUGACAAACUACUUGAGGGCUUAUUCAUUUCACCGUUAAUCCACGUGGAUUGGAUGUAUUGAGUCGGUUUAAAUUCGUAGCAAGUUAAAAUUUAUUCCAAUCCAUUUCAAUAUAUUCUAAUCCACGUGGAAUUGAAAUAACCGAACAAGAAUGAUCUAUCUAGAUGUACACCCACACUCUUUCCUGGCUUGAAAAAUUAAACAGACUACAAUAACUCAAUAAGAUUACCCAGCAUCCAGAAAAACGAAUGUGUAAAAACAAAAGAGCGAGACAGAGCUGAGGCUUGGGUCGUUUGGAUUCGCAUGUAUCUACCUCAAUCCCUAUGUGUUAGUGGUUUGGUGUAUAUUUUAAACUAAAUUCUACACACCAAACCACUUCAUCCUGCUUAGAUUAAGUUGAAUACUAUAUGCAGCCAAACAAGACCUGAAUGUAAUCCAGUGUUGGAUCAUCGUUCGAGGAGAAAUAACAGCAUGAUUGAUUGGCAUGAAAUCUGGAACAGGUCCCUCUGUUCCUGAUGCACUCUACGGUCUUCGUCUCCGGCCUGGCCUUCGCCACCUACUUCUGCUGGAGGCUGGCCCUGGUUUCGUUCCCUCUCGUCCUGCUGCUCAUAAUCCCGGGACUCAUCUACGGCAAGUACCUCCUCUACCUGUCCCGCCGGUCGCGCCACGAGUACGCCAAGGCGAACUCCCUGGUCGACCAGGCUCUGGGCUCCAUCAAGACCGUCUACUCCUUCACGGCCGAGAAGAGGAUCAUCCAGAGGUACACGGCGAUCCUCGACAAGACGAUCAAGCUGGGGAUCAAGCAGGGCAUCGCCAAGGGUCUCGCUGUGGGGUUCACCGGCCUUUCUUUCGCCAUUUGGGCCUUCCUUGCGUGGUAUGGUGGGAGGCUGGUGGUGUUCCAUCAUGUGACCGGUGGAAGGAUAUAUGCUGCUGGGAUUUCCUUCGUCUUGGGUGGCCUGUAUGUUUCUUGCACUCUUCACGCUUUAUCUGACUUCAUGGCACCAUUUGGUCAUGUAGAUGUAGAAGCCUGCCUAACUAGACAAACUUACUGAAUGUUGCAGAUCCCUUGGAAUGGCACUGCCUGAGCUGAAACAUUUCGCUGAGGCGUCUGUUGCUGCCACAAGAAUCCUUGAUCGGAUAAACCGUGUCCCCCAGAUUGAUGCUGAGGACCCAAAAGGCCUUGUGCUGGACCAAAUCCGGGGAGAGCUCGAAUUUGAGUCUGUCCGUUUCGAGUACCCAUCAAGACCAAACAUGCCCGUCCUCAAAAACUUCAGCCUCCAGAUUCCCGCUGGGCAGACUAUUGCUUUGGUUGGGUCCAGUGGCAGCGGCAAGUCAACAGCGAUAGCUUUAGUGCAGCGCUUCUACGAUGCCAGCGAAGGGACUGUAAAAGUUGAUGGUUUUGACAUCAAAGAACUCCAGCUCAAAUGGAUCAGGAGCAAGAUGGGGCUAGUCAGCCAAGACCAUGCGUUGUUUGGCACUUCAAUAAAAGAGAACAUCUUGUUUGGCAAACCAGAUGCAACCAUGGACGAGGUCUAUGCGGCAGCUAUGACAGCAAACGCUCACAACUUCAUAAGGGGGCUUCCAGAGGAAUAUGAGACAAAGGUACGCGCAUCAAAAAAAAGGAAAAAGAACGUCCAUCCACCUUAAUUCCAUGUCUCAUACUUUAUGGUUCCUUCUUGCAGAUUGGUGAGCGUGGAGCACUGUUAUCAGGUGGCCAGAAGCAGCGUAUUGCCAUUGCGAGGGCGGUAAUUAAGAACACUGCUAUACUCUUGCUCGAUGAAGCCACAAGUGCACUUGAUUCAGAAUCAGAGAAGUUGGUACAGCAUGCACUUGAUCAAGCAUCUAUGGGACGAACAACACUGGUAAAUUGCCACUGCUUCCGCUCUUCAUACUUUAUGACCCUUAUAUCAGAACUUGUUGAAUUAAUUAUCACUGCAUCUUUUUUCAAGAAAAAAACAUUUGGCAUUGAAUCUCUGAUUAUUCAUUAACAAUGGACAGGUAGUAGCUCAUAAGCUCUCAACCGUGAAGAACGCUGAUCAGAUCGCGGUAGUUGAUGGGGGUACAAUAGCUGAAAUUGGUACACAUGAUGAACUGAUCAGCAAGGGUGGCCCAUACUCGAGACUUGUGAAAUUGCAGAAGAUGGUAAGCUACAUCGAUCAAGAAAAUGAUCAGUUUAGGGCUUCCUCAGUGGCCAGGACCAGUACCAGCCGACACAGCAUGUCCAGAGCAAGUCCAAUGCCACUAACACCAGCUGCCUUAAAGGAAAAUGAUUCUGAUGUUCAUCCACCUGCACCAUCUUUCUCCAGGCUUCUUGCAAUGAACGCACCUGAGUGGAGGCAGGCAGUCGUAGGCAGUUUAUCCGCAUUGGUAUAUGGUUCCUUGCAGCCUAUCUAUGCCAUAACCAUCGGAGGAAUGAUUGCUGCAUUCUUUGUUCAGGACCAAAAUGAGAUGAAUGCAAUUAUCAGACGCUAUGCCUUGAUCUUCUGCUCACUGUCCUUGGUAUCCAUUGUUGUUAAUCUAUUGCAGCACUACAAUUUUGCAUACAUGGGGGAGCAUCUUGUUAGGCGCAUCCGGGUCCAAGUACUUGAGAAGAUAUUAACUUUUGAGGCAGCAUGGUUUGAUGAAGAAACUAACUCAAGCGGUGCAUUGUGCUCUCGGCUAAGCAAUGAGGCUUCUCUUGUCAAAACCCUUGUUGCAGACAGAAUAUCCUUACUGCUUCAAACAGCUUCUGGAAUUAUAAUUGCAGUGACAAUGGGCCUGAUGGUAGCUUGGAAACUUGCUCUUGUCAUGAUAGCUGUACAGCCAUCUACAAUGAUGUGUUAUUAUGCAAAAAAAAUGGUUCUCUCAAAUGUGUCAAGGGACUUGGCAAAGGCUCAGCAUCAAAGCACCCAGAUUGCCAUAGAAGCUGUUUACAACCACAGGAUGGUAACCUCCUUUGGAUGUUCAUCAAAGGUUCUUCAGCUAUUCGAGCAUGCGCAAGAGGAACCCUUGAAAAAAGCAAGGAAGAAAUCAUGGGUAGCAGGGAUCACCACAGGGUUGUCACCUUGCCUCUCGUUCUUG
This 6631-nucleotide long non-coding RNA is filed under the name Zea mays. RNAcentral's name for it is "long non-coding RNA (ZMAY_LNC002012)". Lineage: Eukaryota; Viridiplantae; Streptophyta; Magnoliopsida; Poales; Poaceae. The record is from RNAcentral.